UGCGUAGGCGUCCAGGAAAGUUAUUUGUUAAAUCCUUCGGCUUAACCGAAGAUCUGCAAGUAAAACUAACUGGAUAGAGUUUAAGAGAGGAAAAUGGAAUUCCUGGUGUAGCGGUGACAUGCGUAGAUAUCAGGAGGAACAUCAAUGGCGAAGGCAGUUUUCUGGCUUAAAACUGACGCUGAGGCACGAAAGCAUGGGGAGCAAACAGGAUUAGAUACCCUGGUAGUCC
RNAcentral lists this ribosomal RNA (229 nucleotides) under uncultured bacterium. Its description in RNAcentral is "partial 16S ribosomal RNA". It matches the Rfam family "Bacterial small subunit ribosomal RNA", at positions 568 to 796 of the family's 1533-position model. The record is from RNAcentral.